GUCCUUUAAAAACAAACAUUUAUCACACAGAAUGUGCCAUGUGAUUGACUUUAAUUCACUUAAUCCUUACAACUUUGGGGGGAUGUUCUUAAUUUCCAGAAAACGAGGCUCAGAAAGGUUAAAUGACCAGGGUCAUAGAAAAAAAAUGCAUCACAAAGUCAGGAUUUGGUUGCAGAUGGGUCUACUUGAAAACAAAAGCUCUUUCUACCACAACAGGUUAUUUUGAACUGGGGGGGGGCAGUUUUGUUCCAAUUUUACAUCCUUAACUCCUAGCCUAGCUUUUGGCACAGAAUAUCUCGUACAAGUUAGGUAUUACUUGUCUUCUGUUCUUUGUAAAGCUUUCUUUUGUGUACUACAGAGACAGGUACUAACUACAAGCCCGCGAUGGAGAUGUGGAAAUAACAUCCUAAGCACUCCAGUGACUGCGCCACUCUCAAAACUCUCGGCGUCUUCUAGACUCCCAUCUCUAUGGUUGGUAUGUGAGCUGUCUACGCUCCGGAGGACUCAGAGAGCACGGCCAAUCAUUAGAUUACUUUACGUGCACGUGGUCGGAAGUUUGACUUACUAUUGGUUAAUAGCAGUAAAGGCCGCCCAACCACAUCCGGUCUGCUCCUUUAAGUAAUCGCCAUACCGGCAUUUGAGUCUUUCGGCGUCUGCAAAGGCUCGGAGGUCCCAGCCCGGCCGAAGACGUUGAUCUCCGCGUUCUACGACCUUCAUUGUUCCCUGUCCCCAGUUCCCCUCAAUAAAGUGUUUUAACCCCAA
Molecule: long non-coding RNA, 762 nt
Organism: Microcebus murinus (gray mouse lemur)
Lineage: Eukaryota; Metazoa; Chordata; Mammalia; Primates; Cheirogaleidae
Source: RefSeq, a predicted model, not a curated record